GACGAACGCUGGCGGCGUGCUUAACACAUGCAAGUCGAACGGAAAGGCCCUGCUUUUGUGGGUUGCUCGAGUGGCGAACGGGUGAGUAACACGCGUGUAACCUGUCCUUGACUUUGUGAUAACUUUAGGAAACUGGGGCUAAUAUCGGAUAGGAGCUCCUGCUGCAUGGUGGGGGUUGGAAAGUUUCGGCGGUUUGGGAUGGACUCGAGGCUUAUCAGCUUGUUGGUGGGGUAGUGGCUUACCAAGGCUUUGACGGGUAGCCGGCCUGAGAGGGUGACCGGCCACAUGGGGACUGAGAUACGGCCCAGAAUGCUACGGGAGGCAGCGGUGGGGAAUAUUGCACAAUGGGCGGAAGCCUGAUGCAGCAACGCCGCGUGCGGGAUGACGGCCUUCGGGUUGUAAACCGCUUUCGCCUGUGACGAAGCGUGAGUGACGGUAAUGGGUAAAGAAGCACCGGCUAACUACGUG
Molecule: ribosomal RNA, 468 nt
Filed under: uncultured bacterium
Lineage: Bacteria
Description: partial 16S ribosomal RNA
Rfam family: Bacterial small subunit ribosomal RNA
Source: RNAcentral